GCGGCGUGCCUAAUACAUGCAAGUCGAACGAAACUUCUCUAUCACCGAGUGCUUGCACUCACCGAUAAAGAGUUGAGUGGCGAACGGGUGAGUAACACGUGGGCAACCUGCCCAAAAGAGGGGGAUAACACUUGGAAACAGGUGCUAAUACCGCAUAACCAUAGUUGCCGCAUGGUAACUAUGUAAAAGGUGGCUAUGCUACCGCUUUUGGAUGGGCCCGCGGCGCAUUAGCUAGUUGGUGGGGUAAAGGCUUACCAAGGCAAUGACGCGUAGCCGAACUGAGAGGUUGAUCGGCCACAUUGGGACUGAGACACGGCCCAAACUCCUACGGGAGGCAGCAGUAGGGAAUCUUCCACAAUGGGCGAAAGCCUGAUGGAGCAACGCCGCGUGGGUGAAGAAGGUCUUCGGAUCGUAAAACCCUGUUGUUAGAGAAGAAAGUGCGUGAGAGUAACUGUUCACGUUUCGACGGUAUCUAACCAGAAAGCCACGGCUAACUACGUGCCAGCAGCCGCGGUAAUACGUAGGUGGCAAGCGUUAUCCGGAUUUAUUGGGCGUAAAGGGAACGCAGGCGGUCUUUUAAGUCUGAUGUGAAAGCCUUCGGCUUAACCGGAGUAGUGCAUUGGAAACUGGGAGACUUGAGUGCAGAAGAGGAGAGUGGAACUCCAUGUGUAGCGGUGAAUGCGUAGAUAUAUGGA
This 695-nucleotide ribosomal RNA is filed under the name uncultured Lactobacillus sp. RNAcentral describes it as "bacterial SSU rRNA". It matches the Rfam family "Bacterial small subunit ribosomal RNA", at positions 39 to 702 of the family's 1533-position model. Lineage: Bacteria; Bacillati; Bacillota; Bacilli; Lactobacillales; Lactobacillaceae. The record is from RNAcentral.